CUCCGCGGUUCCAGAAUUCCCUCCUCCUUCCCCAAAGAACAAUCUGCGGGGGACAGAGCCAAAACCUGGAAAAAUCAUUAAAAAAAAGAAAAAGAAAAAAAAGUAAACACUGCUGCCGAGCUGCCUGCUCCAUGCACUACGACGGGGCAGCGAUCUGGUUGGCAGUUGGGGGUUGCGAAAUACCAUUUCCCGAGGCUGUGAAGGUCCCGUCGGCAGUAACAGCUGUGGCGAGAAAAUCCGAAGAAGUGUCUCCGGCAGCUUCGGGAGCUCAAGCAUGUCCGUGAGAGGGCCUCAAAGUCUCUUCAAAGACCUACGUUAUCUCUACACAGAGAUUCUACUUCUCAUAACAGACAGAGGAUAAACAGCAGUAGGCAUAAUACAUGGAGUUUCCCCCACUCUUAUUCUCCCGGCCUUGGCAUUCCCAGCUACAAGGUUCCUUGAGCAAAUCUACCAUCCUCCUCACCAUUCUUCUACUUUUAAACCUUUCCUCCCAACAGUGUCUGAAGCAGACAACCUUUCAGUGAA
Molecule: long non-coding RNA, 525 nt
Filed under: Serinus canaria (Common canary)
Lineage: Eukaryota; Metazoa; Chordata; Aves; Passeriformes; Fringillidae
Description: lncRNA (ENSSCAG00000015478.1)
Source: RNAcentral